UCUGCGGACGGCUCAGUAAAUCAGUGAUAAUCUAUUUGAUUUUCUCUCCCAUUGGAUAACCGUGGGAAAUCUAGAGCUAAUACGUGCGGUAUCUUGGCGAGCUCUCGGGUUCGUCAAAGCAUUUAUUAGACUAAACCAACUACUAUGUAUUUCAUAGUAAGGGGAAUCUGGAUAACUUUGCUGAUCGUAUGGCCUUGUGCCGGCGACGUUUCAAUUGAGUUUCUGCCCUAUCAACUUGUUGGUAAGGUAUUGGCUUACCAAGGUUGCAACGGGUAACGGGGAAUCAGGGUUCGAUUCCGGAGAGGGAGCCUGAGAAACGGCUACCACAUCCAAGGAAGGCAACAGGCGCGCAAAUUACCCAAUCUAGACAGUAGGAGGUGGUGAAGAGAAUUACUAAAUGGUGGUCCAAUGGAUCACUUGUUUGGAAUGAACGUAACUUAAGAAAUUCGUUGAUAAACAACUGGAGGGCAAGUCCUGGUGCCAGCAGCCGCGGUAAUUCCAGCUCCAGUAGUUUGCUUUAAAGUUGUUGCGUUUAAAACGCUCGUAGUUGGAUCACGCAGCAGUGUUCAGUUAUCUUUUGUCCGGCACCCAAUCGAUGCGUUCGUCUCUGACGACCUUUGAUGGGCCCGGCUCUUGAUGCUAUGCUGGAUGCUGUUAGUUGCACGUGAGAUGGAUUGUUGGCCUUAAUUGAGCCGGUAUUCUUGUCUUGCGGGGUGUGCCUUGAAUAAAACAGAGUGCUUAAAGCAGGUUAUUGCCUGAAUGUUAUAGCAUGGAACGAACAAUCGUGUAUAUGUGCGUGGCAUUAGAUGGUCACGAGCUUUUGGUUUGUGGUUAUCUGUGCUGCGUACGGCACCCACCAAAAUAUGGCUGUUGGUUCCAUAUACGGUGAUGAUUA
RNAcentral lists this ribosomal RNA (895 nucleotides) under Triactinomyxon sp. 'D'-1 EE-2005. RNAcentral describes it as "bacterial SSU rRNA". It matches the Rfam family "Eukaryotic small subunit ribosomal RNA", at positions 86 to 871 of the family's 1831-position model. The record is from RNAcentral. Lineage: Eukaryota; Metazoa; Cnidaria; Myxozoa.